UUCGCUUAAUAUUUAAUAUUCUUCGCUUUCCACCUCUACCAAUUCCCAUUCCCAUUCCCAUCGAUUUAAAACCACCAGCAGCAGCAUUGCUCAAAUCACCCUCCGCCUACACAAACACACACACACACACACACACACACACACAGAGGACCAAUCUCAAUGGCGGCGAGUACAGAGGGAGUGAUCAGCAACAAACAGGUGAUACUGAAAGACUAUGUGACCGGCUUCCCCAAAGAAUCUGACAUGCAACUCACCACCGCCACCACCAAGCUCAGGCUUCCAGAAGGUUCCAAAGGGGUUCUGGUGAAGAACCUCUACUUGUCCUGCGACCCUUAUAUGAGAAGCCGCAUGACCAAGCGUGAACCUGGCGCCAGUUAUGUUGAUUCCUUCGACGCCGGUUCGGUCAGUCACUGUAUAUAUUAUCUUACAUCUCUCUCUAAUUAUUUUAUUAUUUUUAGUGUAAUUUCUUCGUUUUAACUCAAUUUUGUUUAGUCUACAAAUUUAGUCUAUCUAGUCUCUGCCUGCCUUUUUAAUAUUUUGUUUCAAAUCAAAGUUGAAUACUUUUAUAUCUCUAGGUUAGGAUAGUUGGUAACGCGGUGUGCCCUUCCACUUUUAUUCAAUUUCAAAAUUAGGGGCUCCGUAAUUUAGGGUUGUUCAAUUGGGAUCAGAGGGAUUUUAAUGGAUUUAUAAAUUCAUGAAUUUUGAUGAAGUUUAAUUGAUUUAUAAAGAUUUUAAGUACAAUUUUGAGUGAAUUCUCUCGAAUGCUCAGGGAUAUCUGUGAAAUUUGAGCAUGUUUAAAUUACACUUAGAAAUCUCUCUAAUUCUCUCCAAUUCCGCAACUUUUUAAAAUCUUUUAAAAUCAAUUUCUAAUGAAAUACACCCAGAAUGUUAUAACAUCCUUUAUAAUUUGAUUAAAUACAUCUAGAUUUCAGAGACUCACUUAAAAUCACGAUUGAAUACCAUAAUUCGAAUACCGUAUUGUAAAAUAUAUAAAUAAAAUUGAAUCCUUGAGGCAUUUCUCAUGUAGUACAAACGGAACUGAUGAAGAACCCAAUUAUUAAUCUUGUUUUGUAGAUAGCCUUUUUGUUCGGAUGGUGUAAUCCAAAUUUAUCUUGUUUGUGGUUUUGGGGCUGUUUUAAUGAUUUAUAUAGUUUGAGACAACUUGUAAUUCGCGGUUUUUGAUGAUACAAUGCUAUACUUAUAUCAGUUAUAUCUUAUCAAUACUGAGACAUAGCUUCCUUAUUAAUUGGCAUUCUAUCCAACGAAAAAGCUUUGUUUAUGCUAUGUACAGAUCAUAAAAAGGAUAGCAUCUAUUCGAUGUUGUAGUUUUAUUUGACGUGUUUGAUUAUUGAAAUGCUGGUGUGGCAGCCUAUAGUCGGAUAUGGAGUCGCCAAAGUUUUGGAAUCCGGGGAUCCCAAGUUUAAGAAAGGCGAAUUGAUUUGGGGAAUGACCGGGUGGGAGGAAUACAGCGUCAUCACUUCAACAGAGUCUUUGUUUAAGAUUCAGCACACUGAUGUGCCUCUCUCUUACUAUACUGGAAUUCUUGGUAUGUUGUUAUAUAUUGGUUAUUGCUAUUUUCCUUGCCUUUGGAUUUAUUUUUUAAAAUUUUGUUAUGCCACAAGCAGCUAUCUCAAAGUCUUGUAUCUUUUAUGAUGGUACUUGAAUAUAGCGAGCUAAGGAACCUGAACUUCACAAGGGCCUAACCCGUUGGAUGAAAUUCGUGAAUCAUUUUUGUAUGUCAUGGAUUGUAUUGAAUUCUUGUUGCAUGUUUGAGUACCCUAGUUUCAUUGGACUAUUCUCAUGCUAACUUCAGGAGCGAAUAGAUUGUGUCAUAAUAAUCUUUUUAUUAAAAGUAGCAUUUCCUCAUGGAAGGAUUCUGUAUGGUUGUAUAUAUCCCUAGUUGUGAUCUGCCUCCACUCCAGUGACAUCUAUUAUACUACUUGAAGUGAACUGAUUUGUUAAUUCUCAAAUCUCUUUGUAAACUAGAUCUUUACAACAGAUGUCCCAUAUUCUUUUCAUAAUUAGUAAUUUGAUUUGGAAGUACGGAAAUUAUUUAGCAUAACGUAAUUCUAGUUCAAUUGGUCAUAUGGAUCUGUAGCAUUGUUCUCAUGUUGAAUGCAAUUGUUGAAGCGAUCCAUCCUAAUUAAUUCAUCCAAAUAUUCAGUUAUAUGGCUUUGUAAUGCAUGAUAUAUUUACUGGAUGCUCAAUGCUCAUCAAUGUAUCCAUUUUAUGUAGGUAUGCCUGGAAUGACUGCUUAUGCUGGGUUUUAUGAGAUCUGCAAUCCCAAGAAGGGAGAGACGGUCUUCGUUUCAGCAGCAUCUGGAGCAGUAGGUCAGCUUGUUGGCCAAUUUGCAAAGUUGUUGGGUUGCUAUGUUGUUGGAAGUGCUGGAAGCAAAGAAAAGGUGAGUUAUGGUCGAUUCCAACUCUAUCUUAGUUGGCAUUUCUGUGAUUGCAACUCCAUUGGAUGAUUAUCCUUGUUUUAGAAACACGAGUUAGUGAUGUGUGCCAAAUUUGUGACUGGAAACGUUUUGACUAAUAGAAAACAGGAAAAUAAGAGAGAACAUGUUGGAAAGUAAAGAUAUUGCUGACCCUUUAUCUUCAUAAUCAAGUUAGUAAAUUCAGCUUUAACCUGCUGUCUCAUCUUGUUGGCAAAAUGUUCAUAUCAUAUGAAAUCGUAAGCAUAUGCAACUUAGAAAAUCGCACAGAAUGUGCAUCUAUGAGCUUUCCUGUUCUCAUUCUACAAUUUACGUAUUACAAAUGACUAUUUUAUACCCAUUCUUGGCAUAUUUUAAUAAUAUCGUAUCAUUUCUGAGUUUAGGUUGAUCUGCUGAAGAACAAGUUUGGGUUUGACAACGCUUUCAAUUAUAAAGAAGAACCUGAUUUGGAUGCAGCUUUGAAAAGGUCAGUUGAUCAGAAUCAAACUAUUAUUUUAUAGCUUUGACUAUCAAACUAUUAUUUUAAAGCUUUAACUUAUGUCUUAAUUACAAGGGGAAAGUCCAAUAAAAGGCAUUAGCAAUCUCUAACAUCAUCAAGAUUUAGUGAUUUAGCCGCCAAUCCUAAAACAGUGAGAGUAAGUUGAAAUGCGCAACAGUGUGAGCAUGUGGCUGUUGACGAAAAACUCAUGUCUUUGUCCUCUUUGUAGAUAUGUUCCAUGGUUUUCAGUGUUUGCUUAGUCUAAAAUUGUGAUUUUCUCACCAGGUACUUUCCUGAAGGCAUUGACAUAUACUUUGAAAACGUUGGGGGGGAAAUGCUUGAUGCAGUGCUACAAAACAUGAGGGUCCAUGGCCGGAUUGCAGUUUGUGGGUUGAUAUCGCAGUACAACAUUGACGAGCCUGAAGGUUGUCGCAAUUUAAUAUAUCUGAUCAGUAAACAGGUUCGCAUGCAAGGUUUCCUGGUUUUUAGUUACUACCAUCUUUACGAGAAGUUUCUUGAAAUGGUUCUGCCGGCAAUAAAAGAAGGGAAGAUAACGUAUGUGGAAGACGUAGUGGAAGGACUUGAGAGCGCUCCAGCCGCUCUGAUAGGGCUCUAUGCCGGCCGCAAUGUAGGAAAGCAGGUGGUUGUGGUUUCCCGUGAAUGAUUUCAUCAGGCUCUCCAUGCCUCCGAAGUAUCACCCUUUAGCUAUAUGGUGUAAUCGUCUAGUGUGAAAUGCAAAUGCUUUGACAUUUACAAGUUCAUAUUCUACAGGUUUAGGGCAAGCAUAUUAUCUCGACGAGAACUGUGCUUGAUCUCUUACCUUAAGCUAUAAAUAAAUGUCUUUCGACUUCCUUAAUGAUAUCAAGCACUAAGUUUAGUAGAUCUUUCAAUUGUGUAAGAGGUUUUAUUUAUUUAUUGAAUAAAUGAUAUUAUCUACAUUAAGAGGAAGGGACAGCUUCACAAUGGGUUAGUAAUAAUGUGGUUCAAAUUUGCUUUUGUCAAGAAUUGAACCUAAGACAUCUCACUUAUAAAUGAAGAAGAAUAAUACUAGAUCUUACUAGUCCUAAGUGGUAUGUCAAACGAAUGUUGACUUUUCUUUUUACUUUUUGGCUAACGGACCCUCCUUGUCAAAAUAUUGAAUAAGCAAACAAGUUGGAAAGUACAAGUCUCGGCUUUCAGAUUUGGAUCCUUCGCUGUGCCUCCUACGCAAAGCACACAAGCCGUUGGAUCAAAAUUCAACGGUUACAAUUAUUAUAACUUUUAGAAGAUCCUUUUGUUUGUAUCCGUUGGAUUAAAAUCCAACAGUUCGUGUGCUUUGCUCAAAAGGCUUAACCUACCAAGCUCAGGAGAGGAUCCAACGGCCAGUAUCAUGACUUCGGUGACUAGCAGAUGUGUAUCCUUAGAGGGAGGGUGAAAAAUAAUUUUGCAUUCGUGUAAGUUGGAAAAGAUUCAAUUGCCUUAUAUGGAAAAAAGUUCUAUGACCAAUUUGCAAAAACUUCCAACAUACGUUCAUGAAAAAAAAUGCACAAUUUGCAUCUCUAAAUAAUAUACAAAGUACGAUGCAAAUGUUAUUUCUAAACUUUCUAAGCAAUUUUGUUAUUUUAAUUAGGAUCCUUAUUUUAUAUUACUGUUUUCAAUGAUUAUUUUGAACAACAAUAUACAAACCACGAUGUCUAUCUUAAAGGAUUCUUGAACGUACUUAGGUAAAUUGCUUACAACCUUUAUAUUUGGAAUUGUGCAUUAUAGUUAAACUUCUUAUUUUAUCAUCAUUACUUGUAGAUUAACCAUGAAAAUCUAAAGCAUCAAGUGCAAGCAAAUGGGUGGCAAGUAUGGCUUUGAUUUCACACGUAGACACUAUGUUUACAUAUGUACAUGUUGUCCAUAUGUUGCUUGCUUCAUAUAUUAGGAGUUCAUCCCUAGUUAGCCUAUAACUUUGGCUGAAAACUUAUGAAUCUGAAAAUUUUGAUUUAAGGACUUGGGUAGAUAUUUGACAUUUUGCAUGAGAGAGAAAGGAAGAAAGAUUUAUUAUGUUCUCCAUUUUGUGUUUUUCCAGUCUUGAAUUCUAGGAAAGUAAGAUUAGGGAUUGAGGCCCAGCAAAUUAAGCUUUAGAAGAAGUACGAGGCCAAGGUCCCCUACUCCUGUCAUCAAAAGCUUCAUUUUACAGCACCCUUUAUGCAUUGAUGUUCACGUUCUAAAAAAAAUGACACCAGCAAACCAAAAAAAAACGCGGAGAGGCUAGUAAAAAUAAUAAGGCAAGUGGAUGUUUUUAGAAAUUGCAAAAAAUUAUAUUCGAAGGUAGUUUCAAAUUUCACAUAUUUUUGUCUGUGUCAGCUUAAUUUUGUUUUUUUCAUGUCAAUUUUGACAUUUCGGUUGGAGUAAAUGAUAAGUCGUUUAUUAUCGUUAUAUAUCUAUGGGAGAUUUUUUAUUUUCCACCGCUUGCAAUUCCCAUUCCCAUUGCUUUGCAAUCAUCAGCAGUAGCAUUGCUUAUAUCGUCUUACGCCUACAGAGAGAGAAUCAAUCUCAAUGGCGGCAAGUACAGAGGAAGUGAUCAGCAACAAACAGGUGGUACUGACUCUACCGAGAGACCAUGUGACUAGCUUCCCCAAAGAAUCUGACAUGCAACUCACCACCACCACCACCAAGCUCAAGCUUCCAGAAGGUUCCAAAGGGGUUUCGGUGAAGAACCUAUACUUGUACUGCGACCCUUGUAUGAGAGGCUGCAUGAC
This 5639-nucleotide long non-coding RNA is filed under the name Malus domestica (apple). RNAcentral's name for it is "long non-coding RNA (MDOM_LNC014574)". The record is from RNAcentral. Lineage: Eukaryota; Viridiplantae; Streptophyta; Magnoliopsida; Rosales; Rosaceae.